GCCAGGCGCGGUGGCGUGCACCUGUAGUACCAACUACUGGGGAGGCUGAGGAGGGAGGAUCUCUUGAGUCCAGGAGUUUUCGGCUGCAGUGCACUAUGCCAAUUGAUCGACUGUGUGUCCAUACUAAGUUCGGCAUCAACGUGGUGACCUCCCCGGAGCGGGGGACCACCAGGUUGCCCAAGGAGGAGUGAAGCACUCCAGGUUGAAACCGAGCAGGACAAAACUCCUGUGCUGAUCUAGAAAAUCAUUUGGCAGUUUCUUUAAAAACUACAUGUGCAACUACUAUUUACCCA
This 293-nucleotide signal recognition particle RNA is filed under the name Chinchilla lanigera (long-tailed chinchilla). RNAcentral describes it as "Metazoan signal recognition particle RNA (ENSCLAG00000021997.1)". It matches the Rfam family "Metazoan signal recognition particle RNA". From Rfam's summary of the family: The signal recognition particle (SRP) is a universally conserved ribonucleoprotein. It is involved in the co-translational targeting of proteins to membranes. Lineage: Eukaryota; Metazoa; Chordata; Mammalia; Rodentia; Chinchillidae. The record is from RNAcentral.